CGCCUGGGGAGUGCGGCCGCAAGGUUAAAACUCAAAUGAAUUGACGGGGGCCCGCACAAGCGGUGGAGCAUGUGGUUUAAUUCGACGCAACGCGAAGAACCUACCUGGCCUUGACAUCCAGAGAACUUUCCAGAGAUGGAUUGGUGCCUUCGGGAACUCUGAGACAGGUGCUGCAUGGCCGUCGUCAGCUCGUGUCGUGAGAUGUUGGGUUAAGUCCCGUAACGAGCGCAACCCCUAUCCCUGGUUGCUAGCAGGUAAUGCUGAGAACUCCAGGGAGACUGCCGGUGACAAACCGGAGGAAGGUGGGGAUGACGUCAGGUCAUCAUGGCCCUUACGGCCAGGGCUACACACGUGCUACAAUGGCGCGUACAGAGGGCUGCCAACUCGCGAGAGUGAGCCAAUCCCUUAAAACGCGUCGUAGUCCGGAUCGGAGUCUGCAACUCGACUCCGUGAAGUCGGAAUCGCUAGUAAUCGCGAAUCAGAAUGUCGCGGUGAAUACGUUCCCGGGCCUUGUACACACCGCCCGUCACACCAUGGGAGUGGAUUGCACCAGAAGUAGUUAGUCUAACCUUCGGGAGGACGAUUACCACGGUGUGGUUCAUGACUGGGGUGAAGUCGUAACAAGGUAACCGUA
Molecule: ribosomal RNA, 634 nt
Filed under: uncultured Marinobacter sp.
Lineage: Bacteria; Pseudomonadati; Pseudomonadota; Gammaproteobacteria; Pseudomonadales; Marinobacteraceae
Description: bacterial SSU rRNA
Rfam family: Bacterial small subunit ribosomal RNA
Source: RNAcentral